GCCUGGAUUUUAUAUUAGGAGACUUUGUUUAUAUUAUUGGGAGGUGUUAUAUUUCAUUUUUUGGAGGUGGGUUAUACUUGGAAUUAGAUAUAAAUUUUGAGAGUUUAUUUGGAGACAUGCAUGAUUUUCUUUAGUUAGUGAUGGGCAUUUGGAGAUUAAGUAAAAGUUUAUUAAGUGGAGAUACAUGUGGCAAUCUUAUAGGAAAACUUAAAACGAUGUGUCCUUACAAUCAGCCCACAUAAAGACGCGUUAGUAAUCCAUGGCUUUUACAAUUCAAGCGUGUCCCACACUUGGGGGGAUGAAACAGAAAACUAAGGUGUAGUAGGAAAGGGAAAAAUGAAGAGAGGAUUAGAGAGAAGAAGGAGCAGAACCGAAAGAAUAAGUAGAGGGAGGUUCGGUCAUGGAAGAAAAUAAAGGGAAGAAAGGAUUAAGGAAGUGCUAGCCAGAUUUCCACCAGCCUUUCACCAUCACCUUAUGCGUGUUCAUUUCCAUUAUCAUCUCACCUUUUCUAGCAUGAUUGAGGACAACUGGACAAGUGCAGAUUUCAUGCGCCUCCACCGUCGUGGAAUACGCUGGUAAUUUCGGGGUCGCACCACUAGUCAGGAACGAAUAUAAGAUGUGCAAUAAGAAAGCUAAUGUUGUCCACCGUCGUCAACAAAAUCAGGCCGUAACGAAACGAUAGGGUUUUCAAGAACAAAAAUGUACACAAAUCGUGAUUUUGAGGCAAAUUACGGAUCUGGUGAGACAUAAAUUACUAUCCAGAAGCGUGAAGGACUCGCCUCUUAUAAGACAACUGAUGAUUGAGUGGGAACUUCCGGCGUCGUUCGCCCGACCUCCUCCGGAGCCGACUGAUUGAUCAAUUUAGGGUUUUGCCCUUUUGCUUUGUUCACCGGAUUGUUUGUAUGUCUGAGACACGCAUAGUCCAUGUUUUGUGGAUUGGGUUCCCCAUUCAUAGGCUUGGCCUUAAUCUUUUAAUUAUUCUUCAUUUAUACAAUAUUUAACUUCCCAAAAAAAAAAAAAAAAACCACCAACAACAAUGACUUCAGCAUUCAAUAAUAAAUUUACAUACAUA
Molecule: long non-coding RNA, 1072 nt
Organism: Cornus florida
Lineage: Eukaryota; Viridiplantae; Streptophyta; Magnoliopsida; Cornales; Cornaceae
Exons: 2
Source: RefSeq, a predicted model, not a curated record